AACGAACGCUGGCGGCAUGCCUAACACAUGCAAGUCGAACGAACCCUUCGGGGUUAGUGGCGCACGGGUGCGUAACGCGUGGGAAUCUGCCCUUAGGUACGGAAUAACAGUGAGAAAUUACUGCUAAUACCGUAUGAUGUCUUCGGACCAAAGAUUUACCGCCUAGGGAUGAGCCCGCGUAGGAUUAGCUAGUUGGUGAGGUAAAGGCUCACCAAGGCUACGAUCCUUAGCUGGUCUGAGAGGAUGAUCAGCCACACUGGGACUGAGACACGGCCCAGACUCCUACGGGAGGCAGCAGUGGGGAAUAUUGGACAAUGGGCGAAAGCCUGAUCCAGCAAUGCCGCGUGAGUGAAGAAGGCCUCGGUUGUAAGACUCUUUACCCGGGUAAGAUAAUGACCGUAUCGGGAGAAUAAGACUCCGGCUAACUCCGUG
This 432-nucleotide ribosomal RNA is filed under the name uncultured bacterium. RNAcentral describes it as "bacterial SSU rRNA". It matches the Rfam family "Bacterial small subunit ribosomal RNA", at positions 29 to 507 of the family's 1533-position model. The record is from RNAcentral.